UACGUAGGGUGCGAGCGUUAAUCGGAAUUACUGGGCGUAAAGCGUGCGCAGGCGGUUAUGUAAGACAGAUGUGAAAUGCCCGGGCUUAACCUGGGAACUGCAUUUGUGACUGCAUGGCUAGAGUGUGUCAGAGGGGGGUAGAAUUCCACGUGUAGCAGUGAAAUGCGUAGAUAUGUGGAGGAAUACCGAUGGCGAAGGCAGCCCCCUGGGAUAACACUGACGCUCAUGCACGAAAGCGUGGGGGGCAAACAGG
RNAcentral lists this ribosomal RNA (253 nucleotides) under uncultured bacterium. RNAcentral describes it as "partial 16S ribosomal RNA". It matches the Rfam family "Bacterial small subunit ribosomal RNA", at positions 524 to 776 of the family's 1533-position model. The record is from RNAcentral.